Small nuclear RNA from Lontra canadensis (Northern American river otter), 196 nucleotides. RefSeq annotates it as U2 spliceosomal RNA. The transcript has a single exon. Lineage: Eukaryota; Metazoa; Chordata; Mammalia; Carnivora; Mustelidae. The record is from RefSeq and is a predicted model, not a curated record.
AUCGCUUCUCGGCCUUUUGGCUAAGAUCAAGCGUAGUGUCUGUUCUUAUCAGUUUAAAAAUUAACUGGGGAAAGACAAGUGACUCCAUUAAGGAUACUGGGGGACUAACUACGUGAAAAAAAAAAUUCCUUCACACCUUACUUCUAAUUUGGUUAGCUUAGUACAAAAAAUGAAAUUAUUUUUUUAAAAAAUCAAA